RNAcentral lists this transfer RNA (72 nucleotides) under Streptomyces canus. RNAcentral's name for it is "tRNA-Gly". Lineage: Bacteria; Bacillati; Actinomycetota; Actinomycetes; Kitasatosporales; Streptomycetaceae. The record is from RNAcentral.
GGCGUGGCGCAGAGGCAGGCGCACCGCCUUGCCAAGGCGAGACACAUCGGUUCGCAUCCGAUCCCCGCGCCG